RNAcentral lists this ribosomal RNA (527 nucleotides) under uncultured bacterium. RNAcentral's name for it is "bacterial SSU rRNA". It matches the Rfam family "Bacterial small subunit ribosomal RNA", at positions 355 to 895 of the family's 1533-position model. The record is from RNAcentral.
UGGGGAAUCUUGGACAAUGGGGGCAACCCUGAUCCAGCCAUGCCGCGUGAGUGAUGAAGGCCUUAGGGUCGUAAAGCUCUUUCGCCUGUGAAGAUAAUGACGGUAGCAGGUAAAGAAACCCCGGCUAACUCCGUGCCAGCGAGCCGCGGUAAUACGGAGGGGGUUAGCGUUGUUCGGAAUUACUGGGCGUAAAGCGCACGUAGGCGGACCAGAAAGUUGGGGGUGAAAUCCCGGGGGCUCAACCCCGGAACUGCCUCCAAAACUAUUGGUCUAGAGUUCGAGAGAGGUGAGUGGAAUUCCAAGUGUAGAGGUGAAAUUCGUAGAUAUUUGGAGGAACACCAGUGGCGAAGGCGGCUCACUGGCUCGAUACUGACGCUGAGGUGCGAAAGUGUGGGGAGCAAAACAGGAUUAGAUACCCCUGGUAGUCCACACCGUAAAACGAUGAAUGCCAGUCGUCGGGUAGCAUGCUAUUCGGUGACACACCUAACGGAUUAAGCAUUCCGCCUGGGGAGUACGGUCGCAAGAUU